CAAACUCGAAGUGAAGAGCUGCAAGGAUUGCACACAUUGACUCAGGUCUGUGUCUGCUUAGCUUAAGCUCCACAUGAAUGAUGUGGAGGAGCUCCAUGUGUAGGAAAUGCUUAGAAUGCCAGGCAAAAGGGAAAGGAGAUAGUGUUAAUAAAGGAAGGUUUCAGUGUGGGAUAUCUUCAGAAUGUCUAUCCUAUAAGCAUGCCUACCACCUAUAGCUUUCGAAUGCUGUGCUUACCAGGUACACUGUGGCCUUUUAAUGAUGGCACAGUCAGCAGCGAGGCCAGUCUUUUGAGAUCCUGGUUACGAAUGAUAUAAUCCAUUACAGCUUCAUCCAGUGACUCUAGUCUGUGGUGAGAAGGAG
Non-coding RNA from Chiloscyllium plagiosum (whitespotted bambooshark), 361 nucleotides. NCBI's taxonomy places the organism in Eukaryota, Metazoa, Chordata, Chondrichthyes, Orectolobiformes, Hemiscylliidae. The record is from RefSeq and is a predicted model, not a curated record.